Molecule: ribosomal RNA, 303 nt
Filed under: uncultured bacterium
Lineage: Bacteria
Description: partial 16S ribosomal RNA
Rfam family: Bacterial small subunit ribosomal RNA
Source: RNAcentral
AGCAGUCGCCACGGUAAUACGGAGGGUGCAAGCGUUAAUCGGAAUUACUGGGCGUAAAGCGCACGCAGGCGGUCUGACAAGUCAGAUGUGAAAUCCCCGGGCUUAACCUGGGAACUGCAUUUGAAACUGUCAGGCUGGAGUCUUGUAGAGGGGGGUGGAAUUCCAGGUGUAGCGGUGAAAUGCGUAGAGAUCUGGAGGAAUACCGGUGGCGAAGGCGGCCCCCUGGACAAAGACUGACGCUCAGGUGCGAAAGCGUGGGGAGCAAACAGGAUUAGAUACCCGGGUAGUCCCUGUCUCUUAUAC